GGAUGAACGCUAGCUAUAGGCUUAACACAUGCAAGUCGAGGGGAAACGGCAUUAUGUGCUUGCACAUUUUGGACGUCGACCGGCGCACGGGUGAGUAUCGCGUAUCCAACCUUCCCUCCACUCGGGGAUACCCCGUUGAAAGACGGCCUAAUACCCGAUGUUGUCCACAUAUGGCAUCUGACGUGGACCAAAGAUUCAUCGGUGGAGGAUGGGGAUGCGUCUGAUUAGCUUGUUGGUGCGGGUAACGGCCCACCAAGGCGACGAUCAGUAGGGGUUCUGAGAGGAAGGUCCCCCACAUUGGAACUGAGACACGGUCCAAACUCCUACGGGAGGCAGCAGUGAGGAAUAUUGGUCAAUGGACGUAAGUCUGAACCAGCCAAGUAGCGUGCAGGAUUGACGGCCCUAUGGGUUGUAAACUGCUUUUGUUGGGGAGUAAAGUGAGGCACGUGUGCCUUUUUGCAUUUACCCUUCGAAUAAGGACCGGCUAAUUCCGUGCCAGCAGCCGCGGUAAUACGGAAGGUCCAGGCGUUAUCCGGAUUUAUUGGGUUUAAAGGGAGUGUAGGCGGUCUGUUAAGCGUGUUGUGAAAUUUAGGUGCUCAACAUCUACCUUGCAGCGCGAACUGGCGGACUUGAGUGCACGCAACGUAUGCGGAAUUCAUGGUGUAGCGGUGAAAUGCUUAGAUAUCAUGACGAACUCCGAUUGCGAAGGCAGCGUACGGGAGUGUUACUGACGCUUAAGCUCGAAGGUGCGGGUAUCGAACAGGAUUAGAUACCCUGGUAGUCCGCACGGUAAACGAUGGAUGCCCGCUGUUAGCGCCUG
This 820-nucleotide ribosomal RNA is filed under the name uncultured Prevotella sp. RNAcentral's name for it is "bacterial SSU rRNA". It matches the Rfam family "Bacterial small subunit ribosomal RNA", at positions 27 to 832 of the family's 1533-position model. Lineage: Bacteria; Pseudomonadati; Bacteroidota; Bacteroidia; Bacteroidales; Prevotellaceae. The record is from RNAcentral.